UGAGGCAGGAGAAUUGCUUGAACCCAGGAGGUGGAGGUUGCAGUGAGCCGAGAUCAUGCCACUGCACUCCAGCCUGGGUGACAGAGCGAGACUCC
This is a microRNA precursor of Gorilla gorilla gorilla (western lowland gorilla), 95 nucleotides long. Lineage: Eukaryota; Metazoa; Chordata; Mammalia; Primates; Hominidae. The record is from Ensembl.